GCUCAGAGUAUAAGCCAAUGGAGCUUGGAAGGCUUCCGCAGUCUCGGCAUCAUGCGUGGUGUUCGUAAGAUCAGAAGCACGGUUCGUGAGGCGGAGCAUUGAGUUUGCCGCUUAGCUGUCGUGCGGGGUUCGGCCUUGGGGGUUUUAGGCUUCGGCCGAACAAUUCCCGGCCGUUCCUUUUGAAUGGACGUUCAGAGCUUCUGUGUCUAAUGCGGUUAUGCCCACCACGGCACGUUGUGAGGUCACCCACAGGCUCAAACUGCCGAUCGCGAAUCCAGGACGAUGGCAACGAUGCGUUGUUUUACUCGACGGCGAGUUAUCACGCGUGUCUAGUCCUGGGUCGGGCGGCGACCGAGAUAAACCUGGUAUGAUCCUCGUGCGACGAGCCGCUUUCUGGCCAGACCGACGCCCAGGCGCUUCCACUGUGCCGGAAGUGUCAAUCCCAGGCGGUGUGAACCCAGCUGCAUUCUGCAAGGUCUCUCAGCCGGGCGUUGGUCUGAGUGGUGUUAAGUCCAGCACCGUCGGUCACGUCUCGAAACACGGGCCAAGGAGUAUAGCAUGUGUGCAAGUCUAAGGGUCUCACAAAACCCGAAGGCGAAGUGAAAGCAAGACUGUGGCGGGGGAGCUACGGCGAACCUGCCGGCCUUGUGGCGCGAUCUCGCGUUGCCUGGCUUAUAGCAGAGCUGAUCCUGUUUUCUCGGUUGAUUCUUGGUGCAGGCGCAAGCUCCGGGCUCACGUACAACACUGGUCACGCCUUCGUG
RNAcentral lists this ribosomal RNA (761 nucleotides) under Niphargus schellenbergi. Its description in RNAcentral is "partial 28S ribosomal RNA". The record is from RNAcentral. Lineage: Eukaryota; Metazoa; Arthropoda; Malacostraca; Amphipoda; Niphargidae.